RNAcentral lists this small nuclear RNA (22 nucleotides) under Arabidopsis thaliana (thale cress). RNAcentral's name for it is "snRNA_09581". The record is from RNAcentral. Lineage: Eukaryota; Viridiplantae; Streptophyta; Magnoliopsida; Brassicales; Brassicaceae.
CUAGCCCCGAAAAUGGAUGGCG